GAUCCUGGCUCAGGAUGAACGCUAGCUACAGGCUUAACACAUGCAAGUCGAGGGGAAACGACAGAGGAAGCUUGCUUUCUUUGGGCGUCGACCGGCGCACGGGUGAGUAACGCGUAUCCAACCUUCCCGCAAGUAAGGGAUAACCCGUAGAAAUGCGGCCUAAUACCUUAUGUUUUCCUUAGAGGGCAUCUGAUGAGGAACAAAGAUCCGUCGCUUGCGGAUGGGGAUGCGUCUGAUUAGUUAGUCGGCGGGGUAACGG
Molecule: ribosomal RNA, 259 nt
Filed under: uncultured bacterium
Lineage: Bacteria
Description: partial 16S ribosomal RNA
Rfam family: Bacterial small subunit ribosomal RNA
Source: RNAcentral